GCUGCACGGCGCCAGCGGGCUCCCGGGAAAACAGCCGCAUCUCACGACGAGUCGGACGCUCCAAGGUGACGAGAUGUCCCCACCUACACUUGUGUAUGAUGUUCUCAAGUCCUCCAAAUUCCCGUUUCAUCCAGCUUCUGGGAGACUGCUAGGAGGAAAAACGUUUCAUGCCAAAAUCCCAUUCGCUCACUCGAAUAAAGUGGCCAUUAUCAGAGGAACGGAGCUCUGGGUGCCGAGCAAACCCCAAACGCACGGUUUUGUGUGUUCAUUGAGUUCAAAUUGACCCCUUUUCCUCUAAAGGUCCAGCAGCCUUCCACAAAUGGAUUUUUGAUCCAUUAGGAGGAAGAAAAGCAGGAGAAUGAAGGCCGUUGCUUUCAGGUUGACAGCAGGGGAAUUCUGGGAUGUGUUGCCAGGGGCGACCACAGGAUGAACUUGAGGAACGUCAGCUUCUUCCAGAACUUUGGCCGAAGUGAAGCUGAAAUAUAUCGGGUCUUUGAUUUCCAGCGACGGGAGGAAAAGAGAGCAAAACUGAAGCUUAUUUCAAUGUUCCAGAGGUUUAAAAGCUUUGCCAGCAUUUUAGGGUUUCUAUAAAUAGGUUCGAAUUAAAAAAACAACACAAACUAACAGCUGCAGACGGUCUGAGCCAAACCGUGAUGAAGGCCGUUCUCCUGUGGCAUGCUGGGAGUUUUCAGUGGAACCUGAGAGGGUGACGGGUGGACUCACACAGAACAGAGCAGAUGAGAUGAAAACAACCAACACGAGUG
Molecule: long non-coding RNA, 764 nt
Organism: Paramisgurnus dabryanus
Lineage: Eukaryota; Metazoa; Chordata; Actinopteri; Cypriniformes; Cobitidae
Source: RefSeq, a predicted model, not a curated record